RNAcentral lists this ribosomal RNA (540 nucleotides) under uncultured bacterium. RNAcentral describes it as "bacterial SSU rRNA". It matches the Rfam family "Bacterial small subunit ribosomal RNA", at positions 777 to 1314 of the family's 1533-position model. The record is from RNAcentral.
AAUAGAUACCCCGGUAGUCCACGCCGUAAACGAUGAGUGCUAAGUGUUAGGGGGGUUUCCGCCCCUUAGUGCUGCAGCUAACGCAUUAAGCACUCCGCCUGGGGAGUACGGCCGCAAGGCUGAAACUCAAAGGAAUUGACGGGGGCCCGCACAAGCGGUGGAGCAUGUGGUUUAAUUCGAAGCAACGCGAAGAACCUUACCAGGCCUUGACAUCCUCUGACAACCCUAGAGAUAGGGCGUUCCCCUUCGGGGGACAGAGUGACAGGUGGUGCAUGGUUGUCGUCAGCUCGUGUCGUGAGAUGUUGGGUUAAGUCCCGCAACGAGCGCAACCCUUGAUCUUAGUUGCCAGCAUUUAGUUGGGCACUCUAAGGUGACUGCCGGUGACAAACCGGAGGAAGGUGGGGAUGACGUCAAAUCAUCAUGCCCCUUAUGACCUGGGCUACACACGUGCUACAAUGGAUGGUACAAAGGGCUGCCAAACCGCGAGGUUGAGCGAAUCCCAUAAAACCAUUCUCAGUUCGGAUUGCAGGCUGCAACUCG